GCACUGCUGAGGAGUCCCAUACUAGGACGAAAUGGUCGUCCAGUAC
This is a non-coding RNA of Schistosoma mattheei, 46 nucleotides long. The record is from Rfam. NCBI's taxonomy places the organism in Eukaryota, Metazoa, Platyhelminthes, Trematoda, Strigeidida, Schistosomatidae.